RNAcentral lists this ribosomal RNA (253 nucleotides) under uncultured bacterium. RNAcentral describes it as "partial 16S ribosomal RNA". It matches the Rfam family "Bacterial small subunit ribosomal RNA", at positions 524 to 776 of the family's 1533-position model. The record is from RNAcentral.
UACGGAGGGGGCGAGCGUUAUUCGGAAUUAUUGGGCGUAAAGGGCGCGUAGGCGGCUGAACAAGUCAAAGGUGAAAUCCCUCGGCUCAACUGAGGAAGUGCACCUGAAACUGGCAGGCUUGAGUACGAAAGAGGGUCGCGGAAUUCCCGGUGUAGAGGUGAAAUUCGUAGAGAUCGUAAGGAAGACCAGUGGCGAAGGCGGGUCUCUGGACAGUUCCUGACACUGAGGCACGAAGGCCAGGGGAGCAAACAGG